RNAcentral lists this ribosomal RNA (624 nucleotides) under Deronectes bicostatus. Its description in RNAcentral is "partial 16S ribosomal RNA". The stretch from base 385 to 543 matches the Rfam family "Bacterial large subunit ribosomal RNA", at positions 2473 to 2632 of the family's 2925-position model. Lineage: Eukaryota; Metazoa; Arthropoda; Insecta; Coleoptera; Dytiscidae. The record is from RNAcentral.
GUCCUUUAGAUAAUAUAAUUUAAGGUCUGACCUGCCCACUGAGAAAUUUAAAGGCCGCAGUAAUUUGACUGUGCAAAGGUAGCAUAAUCAUUAGUUUUUUAAUUAAAAGCUUGUAUGAAUGGUUGGACGAGAUAAAAUCUGUCUCUAGUUAAUAAAUAGAAUUUAAUUUUUAAGUUAAAAAGCUUAAAUUAAUAUAAAAGACGAGAAGACCCUAUAGAUCUUAAUAUAAUAUUUUAAAAUUUUAUUAAAGGUUAUUUUAUUAGUUUUAUUUUUUUAUAUUUUAUUGGGGUAAUAAAAAGAUUAAAUUAAUUCUUUUUUAUAUUUAACAAUAAUAAUUGAUUAUUUGAUCCAUUAAUAGUGAUUAUAAGAUUAAGUUACCUUAGGGAUAACAGCGUAAUUUUUUUAGAGAGUUCAUAUCGAUAAUAAAGUUUGCGACCUCGAUGUUGGAUUAAAAAUUAUUUUGGGUGUAGAAGUUCAAAAUUUUGGUCUGUUCGACCAUUAAAUUUUUACAUGAUCUGAGUUCAGACCGGCGUAAGCCAGGUCGGUUUCUAUCUUUAUUAAAUUAAUAUAUUUUAGUACGAAAGGACCAGAUAUUUAAUAUAUUUAUAUUUUUAUUUUGAUUAA